RNAcentral lists this ribosomal RNA (408 nucleotides) under uncultured bacterium. RNAcentral's name for it is "partial 16S ribosomal RNA". It matches the Rfam family "Bacterial small subunit ribosomal RNA", at positions 355 to 755 of the family's 1533-position model. The record is from RNAcentral.
UGGGGAAUAUUGCACAAUGGGCGCAAGCCUGAUGCAGCCAUGCCGCGUGUGUGAAGAAGGCCUUCGGGUUGUAAAGCACUUUCAGCGAGGAGGAAGGUGGUGGACUUAAUACGUUCAUCAAUUGACGUUACUCGCAGAAGAAGCACCGGCUAACUCCGUGCCAGCAGCCGCGGUAAUACGGAGGGUGCAAGCGUUAAUCGGAAUUACUGGGCGUAAAGCGCACGCAGGCGGUUUGUUAAGUCAGAUGUGAAAUCCCCGGGCUCAACCUGGGAACUGCAUUUGAAACUGGCAAGCUAGAGUCUCGUAGAGGGGGGUAGAAUUCCAGGUGUAGCGGUGAAAUGCGUAGAGAUCUGGAGGAAUACCGGUGGCGAAGGCGGCCCCCUGGANGAAGACUGACGCUCAGGUGCG